AGUGGGAUAACUGGGUCAAAUGGUGAUUCCAUUCCAAGUUUUCUGAGGAAUGUUUGUACUGCUUUCCAGAUUGGUGGCACCAAUUUGCAGACCCACGAGCAAU
This 103-nucleotide microRNA precursor is filed under the name Marmota monax (woodchuck). Lineage: Eukaryota; Metazoa; Chordata; Mammalia; Rodentia; Sciuridae. The record is from RNAcentral.